This 2389-nucleotide long non-coding RNA is filed under the name Equus caballus (horse). RNAcentral describes it as "lncRNA (ENSECAG00000031663.2)". The record is from RNAcentral. Lineage: Eukaryota; Metazoa; Chordata; Mammalia; Perissodactyla; Equidae.
CUUUCAUGGCGGCCUCAGCUUUAAGACGUCAUUGUAUUUUUCCUUUUUCUCUCGACUCCAACCCAAGUCCUGGGUCAGAGAUGAAGAAUCUACUAGAGACACAGGCCAAUAAAUCACAGGAGCCUGGACAAGCGGGUACUGCCCUCCCUUCUGCAGAGGAAGAAUUCAGGCUUCCAGCAGCCAAGGGCUUGCUUGCGUGCGGCUGUGUCAGGACUGCAAUUCAAGCCCCUAGUUUCUUGUUCAGGGCUUUCUUCACUCCACGAAGACCAUCAUUCUAACAUCCUACAAAUGUCCGGUGCAAAUGUCUGUGUGAAAUAUAUGCUCUUUUCUGUCUGUUUACUUCAGACUCUGGGGAGAGAUCGGAGAGACAUUAGUAACUUCUUUUUUCUUUCCUCAAGUCCCUGUGACGAAAUGACUGUUUCUGCAGUGCUUGUUUUCUGGGCCCUGGAAAGAUUCCAAAGCUGUCACUGUGUUUUCCAUCUGGCACUUUUUCAAGAAUCUCUCUGCUGCUUCCUGCAGCCUGGAGGUCGUCCUGCAGAGGCCCCUCUACCACCCCUGACAGGCUGGUGGGGCAGGACAUAGGCAUCACGGAGCUGUGCAAUAGGCAGGAACAGCUUGACGAGGGGGCGGGCGCCCCAUUGCGUGCAAACUCACUCCAAGACGGGGAAGCGGCCCCCAGAGACAUGGUUUUCAAAAGUAGAAAACUACCUGCUAAUUUGUUACGGAAACUUUAAGUAUUGAAUGAAUCUAGUGAUUUUUUAAAAUAUAAUUCAACCUAUGGGAAAAAAUCCAGCUUGACUUUCUUGAAACACUCACGGGUCACACUAUUUGGAAAGCAACACUGAAAAGAAACUUUGGAACUUCCAAGGGAAUGUGGAUGGUGAGUGAGCCUCUGCAUUACAGAGUUUGAGCCGUCCCACCUCCCCAAGAACGCUCAGGACCUCAAAGACCCAGCCAGAAAAGACCAAAGAGAUGAUGGAAGUCACAGCUUUGCAGAAACUUCAGAAAAUUUGUGUUUACAAAAGGGUUUGCAAUAAAAGCUGCUGCUCACGUUUUCCUUCUGAAAUAGGUCAAGGAAGUGAAACUCUGGAAGGUAACUCACAGGUGCAGGAUUCCUCUGGACCUGUAAGAAGCUGACGGGCAUUGUGGCCACCGUACGAUGGCGUAGGGGACCUGGCAUUUCCCAGGUUUGAAGUACGUAAUAAUAAAACUGAAAGUGAUCAAGAGAAUUUGUUGGCUACAGAUAUAUUCUGACUUCAGGAUAAUUUCAGUUCCACUGUUUGGUAAUAUCACCAGGAAUUGUUUUAUCUUAGACUUUGGGCUGCCUUGCUCUCGUAUUUUGACUGCUUCUUAAAAUGCCCCUCCACGUCCCAAGAUAACUACCAGCACCUUCUGGAAUUCAUGCAGCCUCAUUCAUUAUAAACAGAAAAGACUAUCUUUGUCCCCAAGUAGGGAAAACAUUGCUUCACCAAACAUAUGUUAAGAUCUUAUUCUUUGCCAAGUACUAGUGACGCAGAAAUGAGUCAGACGUGAUUGCUUAAAUGGGAAAGCUCGGAGUCAUCAUCUGGACAUCCACAAUAUUCCUAUUUCCUUCUGCGUAAAGAUUGUUUUUAAAAAUGCUCGUAUUCUGCGAUUUAUGAAGUGUGUUGAUGAGAAUUCAAACGUGAUGGUUGACGUGCUAGCAGCCAUCUUGUGACCAUGAGUCAACCUUGAAGAUGUAAGCCCUGUGCCAAGGUUGGUGAGCAGGAACAAGAAAGUGCAGGAAGACGGGUCAGUCAUGUAGCUCCGACUGUACUGCUGGGCCAUCUACCCCUGGACAUUUUUAAUAACUCUCUAGAAGCAAUAAGAGUUGACUCCAUGGUGUAAGAGACUGAGUGAUAAGGAAAAGAUUUUCCACAUAGCCUUGUGAUGGAGUAACCAAAAUGACCUCUAAGGUUUGCCAGAAAAAAGCUAGACCUGCGAAGAAAGGAACGCAUUUUGGGCGGCUCCCCCGUGCUCCUCGGGGCCACAAGUACUCGAGGAAGUGACUGUUCCCUGGGUGGUGGCCAGACGCUCGGCUCCCAGGAGUCCGGCCGCCCUGAGGGCGGGGCCGGGAGGUGGAUGGACCGGAAGACCGCGCGUCUAGGGAGACUGAGUCACGUCCGGGUCAGAGCACGCGGCUUGACAGCCGGGGGAACGAAAUGCUGGUCUGGGGCGGAAUUUGAACUUUAGGUGGUUAAUUUCUACAGGCAAGAUCUCUGCUCCAUCUCGCGUCCUAAGAAAGGAGGGGUGUGUUUCUAAGCACAUACAGGCGCUCACACACUUUGCUGAUGUAUAUUCUCUACGUGCCUAAGCAUUGUAAUUUAGAUUUUGAUCUAGAAAAUUAAAAAUAAACGUCUAAGAGUUCCAU